This 292-nucleotide ribosomal RNA is filed under the name uncultured microorganism. Its description in RNAcentral is "partial 16S ribosomal RNA". It matches the Rfam family "Bacterial small subunit ribosomal RNA", at positions 505 to 796 of the family's 1533-position model. The record is from RNAcentral.
GUGCCAGCAGCCGCGGUAAUACGGAGGGUCCGAGCGUUAAUCGGAAUUACUGGGCGUAAAGCGUGCGCAGGCGGUUUGUUAAGCCAGAUGUGAAAUCCCCGGGCUCAACCUGGGAAUUGCAUUUGGAACUGGCGAACUAGAGUCUUGUAAAGGGGGGUAAAAUUCCAGGUGUAACGGUGAAAUGCUUAGANAUCCUGGGGGAUACCCGUUUUGCAGGCGGCCCCCUGGACAAAGAAUUAACGCUUUNCACGAAAACCGUGGGAGCAAACAGGAUUAGAUACCCGGGAAGUCC